Molecule: non-coding RNA, 24 nt
Filed under: Arabidopsis thaliana (thale cress)
Lineage: Eukaryota; Viridiplantae; Streptophyta; Magnoliopsida; Brassicales; Brassicaceae
Source: RNAcentral
UAUUAUUGGUUAUCACUACAGGAC